This 486-nucleotide ribosomal RNA is filed under the name uncultured bacterium. RNAcentral describes it as "partial 16S ribosomal RNA". It matches the Rfam family "Bacterial small subunit ribosomal RNA", at positions 28 to 507 of the family's 1533-position model. The record is from RNAcentral.
GAUGAACGCUAGCGGCGGGCUUAACACAUGCAAGUCGAGGGGCAGCGCGGGAUAGCAAUAUCCUGGCGGCGACCGGCGGAAGGGUGCGUAACGCGUGAGCGACAUGCCCGUUGCCUGGGGACAACCGGUGGAAACGCCGACUAAUCCCCGAUGGGAUAUUGUGCCGCAUGGCACGAUAUUGAAAGUUACGGCGGCGACGGAUUGGCUCGCGUCCGAUUAGCUGGUUGGCGGGGUAACGGCCCACCAAGGCUGCGAUCGGUAGGGGUUCUGAGAGGAAGGCCCCCCACAAUGGGACUGAGACACGGCCCAUACUCCUACGGGAGGCAGCAGUGAGGAAUAUUGGUCAAUGGGCGGAAGCCUGAACCAGCCAUGCCGCGUGCGGGAAGGAGGCCCUAUGGGCUGUGAACCGCUUUUGCCUGGGGGAAAUAAGGGCGUCGCGCACGUCCGAUGAGAGUACCAGGCGAAUAAGCAUCGGCUAACUCCGUG